This 261-nucleotide non-coding RNA is filed under the name Fragilariopsis kerguelensis. Lineage: Eukaryota; Bacillariophyta; Bacillariophyceae; Bacillariales; Bacillariaceae. The record is from RNAcentral.
AGAGUGACGGAGAAAAGAGAAAGAAGAAAUGAAUUUCAACAUUCCAAUCCCGUUUUGUUUGUUUUGUGAUUUGUAUUAUUAUUCGUUUAUUUACAUCAAAAACAGGCAUAGAUGUGUGUGUGUGUGUGUAUGUGUCCGUCCGAGGGAGAAACCAAAGGGGUGGGAGAGGGGAAAAGAAAAGCAAGAAAAGGAAGGAAUGAAUUCCAACAUUCCAUUUUCAAAUUCCAAUCCAAAGAGAAAAUCAGAGAAGAUCAUGAUUCG